This is a long non-coding RNA of Mauremys reevesii (Reeves's turtle), 860 nucleotides long. RefSeq lists it as uncharacterized. The record is from RefSeq and is a predicted model, not a curated record. NCBI's taxonomy places the organism in Eukaryota, Metazoa, Chordata, Testudines, Geoemydidae. The transcript has 3 exons.
CCGCUACAGAGUUCUUGGCAGCAGAUCCAUGUUCAGUGCUGCCUUAUUCAGGGAUGGUGUUAACAUCACAUACUUGCUUCAAGCCAAGAAAAGGUUGCUCCGUUUGUUUUUAUAAACGCAAUGCCAGUGAUCCCUAUUCCCCAGAAAGACACUUUUUGAAGUUCCCUUUCACCCCAGAGCACUUGAGGUUUCGCCAGAGAUGAAACCAGCCCUUACUACUUGGACAAACAGGCAAAGUACAAUGAAUGUCAUUGCGUUUUUCAGUGCGUAUUUGCUAAGCUUCGAGAGACCAGAUGGCCUUGAGGAAGAGCAAUGAGAGAAAUACAUGGUGGUAAAACAAGGACAGUGAGGAGAUCAAUGCUGUUAAGAACAAAGAGGUCGUACGAAUGAAACUGAAGGAGCAGGAGAGCACAGAGGCAGAAUGAAAGAGUAUGAGGCAGCAAGUGGAGGAAAGAAAAGGGAUCACUAAGUGUAUGUGAUUUGGUCAAGCCAAGCCACAGUGUUCUUAUCAACAAUGUUCAAGGCACGAAGCCCUCCCGGAAGUUGAGUCAUUCUGCAAUCCUCACCAAUGUAUGUCAUGCACUGAGUGGAGCAUUCUGAAUUUUGAGAAGAUGAGAGAAUUCAGGACAUCACAUCUAUAUGCCUAGGCACCUUCAGCAGGAAAAGCCAUUGCUAGGAAGCUGGUGCUUGAGACUGGAGGCUAAAUCGCUUAUAAUCACGACAGACCUUUUGCAGAAUUCCUGUCAGGUUCAUGGUUUGGGAAGUACUGAUGCUGUGUGACAGAAGUCAGAAGCCAAAUAUUUAUAACACCCCAAGCGUUUACAAGGGAACUUGAUCCCUUCCUCCAGAGACCUUGCAGU